AAUGAACGCUGGCGGCAUGCCUAACACAUGCAAGUCGAACGAGACCUUCGGGUCUUUUGGCGCACGGGUGCGUAACGCGUGGGAACCUGCCCUUAGGUUUGGAAUAACUCCCCGAAAGGGGUGCUAAUACCGGAUCAUGUCUUCGGACCAAAGAUUUAUCGCCUUUGGAUGGGCCCGCGUUGGAUUAGCUAGUUGGUAGGGUAAAAGCAUACCAAGGCGACGAUUCAUAGCUGGUCUGUGAGGAUGCUCAGCCACACUGGGACUGAGACACGGCCGAGACUCCUACGAGAGGCAGCAGAGGGGGAUAGUGGACAAUGGGCGGAAGCCUGAUCCAGCAAUGCCGCGUGAGUGAUGAAGGCCUUAGAGUUGUAAAGCUCUUUUACCCGGGAUGAUAAUGACAGUACCGGGAGAAUAAGCGCCGGCUAACUCCGUG
Molecule: ribosomal RNA, 433 nt
Filed under: uncultured bacterium
Lineage: Bacteria
Description: partial 16S ribosomal RNA
Rfam family: Bacterial small subunit ribosomal RNA
Source: RNAcentral